CCUACGGGUGGCAGCAGUGGGGAAUAUUGGACAAUGGGCGCAAGCCUGAUCCAGCAACGCCGCGUGGAGGACGAAGGUCUUCGGAUCGUAAACUCCUGUCAGGUGGGACGCGGUACCACCAGAGGAAGCCCCGGCUAACUCCGUGCCAGCAGCCGCGGUAAUACGGAGGGGGCGAGCGUUAUUCGGAAUUAUUGGGCGUAAAGGGCGCGUAGGCGGCUCGAUAAGUCAAAGGUGAAAUCCCUCGGCUCAACUGAGGAACUGCCUUUGAAACUGUCGAGCUUGAGUCCGGGAGGGGGUAGCGGAAUUCCCAGUGUAGCGGUGAAAUGCGUAGAUAUUGGGAGGAACACCAGUGGCGAAGGCGGCUACCUGGACCGGACUGACGCUGAGGCGCGAAAGCGUGGGUAGCAAACAGGAUUAGAUACCCUAGUAGUC
This 432-nucleotide ribosomal RNA is filed under the name uncultured bacterium. RNAcentral's name for it is "partial 16S ribosomal RNA". It matches the Rfam family "Bacterial small subunit ribosomal RNA", at positions 338 to 795 of the family's 1533-position model. The record is from RNAcentral.